RNAcentral lists this ribosomal RNA (189 nucleotides) under Pseudomonas sp. AU12215. RNAcentral's name for it is "partial 16S ribosomal RNA". It matches the Rfam family "Bacterial small subunit ribosomal RNA", at positions 1 to 189 of the family's 1533-position model. The record is from RNAcentral. Lineage: Bacteria; Pseudomonadati; Pseudomonadota; Gammaproteobacteria; Pseudomonadales; Pseudomonadaceae.
GAACUGAAGAGUUUGAUCAUGGCUCAGAUUGAACGCUGGCGGCAGGCCUAACACAUGCAAGUCGAGCGGAUGAGUGGAGCUUGCUCCAUGAUUCAGCGGCGGACGGGUGAGUAAUGCCUAGGAAUCUGCCUGGUAGUGGGGGACAACGUUUCGAAAGGAACGCUAAUACCGCAUACGUCCUACGGGAGA